RNAcentral lists this ribosomal RNA (253 nucleotides) under uncultured bacterium. RNAcentral describes it as "partial 16S ribosomal RNA". It matches the Rfam family "Bacterial small subunit ribosomal RNA", at positions 524 to 776 of the family's 1533-position model. The record is from RNAcentral.
UACGUAGGGGGCAAGCGUUGUCCGGAUUCAUUGGGCGUAAAGAGCGUGUAGGCGGCCAGGUAGGUCGGUUGUGAAAACUGGAGGCUCAACCUUCAGAGGUCGACCGAAACCAUCUGGCUAGAGUCCGGGAGAGGAGAGUGGAAUUCCUGGUGUAGCGGUGAAAUGCGCAGAUAUCAGGAAGAACACCCGUGGCGAAAGCGGCUCUCUGGAACGGUACUGACGCUGAGACGCGAAAGCGUGGGGAGCGAACGGG